GUAGGGAAUAUUGGGCAAUGGUCGGAAGACUGACCCAGCCAUGCCGCGUGCAGGAAGACGGCCCUCUGGGUUGUAAACUGCUUUUAUCUGGGAAGAAAAAGGCCAUGCGUGGCAAAUUGCCGGUACCAGAUGAAUAAGCACCGGCUAACUCCGUGCCAGCAGCCGCGGUAAUACGGAGGGUGCGAGCGUUGUCCGGAUUUAUUGGGUUUAAAGGGUGCGUAGGCGGCUGAUUAAGUCAGCGGUGAAAGACUUCGGGUUAACCGGAGCAGUGCCGUUGAUACUGGUUGGCUUGAAUGUCGGAGGGGUACAUGGAAUUGAUGGUGUAGCGGUGAAAUGCAUAGAUACCAUCAGGAACACCGAUAGCGAAGGCAUUGUACUGGCCGACAACUGACGCUGAUGCACGAAAGUGUGGGGAUCGAACAGGAUUAGAAACCCGGGUAGUCC
This 444-nucleotide ribosomal RNA is filed under the name uncultured bacterium. RNAcentral's name for it is "partial 16S ribosomal RNA". It matches the Rfam family "Bacterial small subunit ribosomal RNA", at positions 354 to 796 of the family's 1533-position model. The record is from RNAcentral.